UACGUAGGGUGCAAGCGUUAAUCGGAAUUACUGGGCGUAAAGGGUGCGCAGGCGGUUUUGUAAGUCAGAUGUGAAAUCCCCGGGCUUAACCUGGGAACUGCGUUUGAAACUACAAGACUAGAGUGUGGCAGAGGGGGGUGGAAUUCCAUGUGUAGCAGUGAAAUGCGUAGAGAUAUGGAAGAACAUCGAUGGCGAAGGCAACCCCCUGGGUUAACACUGACGCUCAGGCACGAAAGCGUGGGGAGCAAACAGGAUUAGAUACCCUGGUAGUCCACGCCCUAAACUAUGUCAACUAGUUGUCGGAGGGUAACUCCUUCGGUAACGCAGCUAACGCGUGAAGUAGACCGCCUGGGGAGUACGGUCGCAAGAUUAAAACUCAAAUGAAUUGACGG
Molecule: ribosomal RNA, 392 nt
Filed under: uncultured bacterium
Lineage: Bacteria
Description: bacterial SSU rRNA
Rfam family: Bacterial small subunit ribosomal RNA
Source: RNAcentral